UUGAAGAUAGUGGGGAUAGAACAAUUUUUUCUUAUUUUUUAGUGAAAAAAGAAAAUAGAAAGUUUGUGUAAAAUAUGGAAAUAGGAUUAUAAUUGUGGAAUAUUGAUAAAAUUUUCGUACAGUAAUAAUGUAGUUUUGUUAAAAUACCAAAUAGUACUUUUUCCGAUCAUAGUGGUAGAUACACAUAGAAGUAUACGAAUUGGCCUAGAAUUUAGAAAAGCUAAUAAAAUGAAGAUGACUUGAAAGUAAAACAAAAUACCAAAAAGCAAGUUUUUUUUUCUUUCCAUUUCUAAUUUGUUACACGUAACACAAAGGCGUUCACUUGUUACCACACACUAUGGAUUGGGCUUUGGGAGACUUCAUACGCCCGUAUGUGGAUUGUAGCCUCUAAACCUAGAGUAUUGGAUUUUGUACUCUCCAUUUAAAUUUAUAUCUCUCAAUUUAAAAAAAUUAUGUUUAAACUUACAAAAAUAUUCUUAAACUUACAAUCUGAAAUGUCUGAACAAGUUUUUGUUUUCUUUUGAAAAUCUAUUAUCGAAAAUUUUAAAAAUGAAAUUUUCGAUAGUUAUUUUUCAAUAUCGUGGAUUUUAUUCAUUCUUGAAAUAUCUGGUAAGUUUUGUUUUCAAAUAAAAAAAAAAUUUAACAAUUUUUUGAUCCAAUUUUUUUUCAGUGAAGACUAGCAGAGCAAAAAACACUGUGGAACAUUCACGAGUUCAACCUCUUACGUAAUCCAAUAGGAGAGUUGUCGUUGAGAAAAUAAGAAAGAUGAACGAAGAGAUGCAACAAGAGGAGGAUUAUUAUCUUCAGUGUGAGUUUGAGCAACAGGAUCUUGUGUUUGAUGAUCAAGAGGAGCAUCAAUAGCACCAGGAUAACAUGCAUCACCAUCAACAGCCUGAACAACCUCUAUUUUCUGGAGGUCUUUACGAUUUUUCCGUCCUUAAAGACUAUGAGCAUCACAAUGCAGUUAAAGUGUGGAUAGAUAGAAUAGACGGGCCCGGAAGUUGCUUCAAAUGGAAAAAAAAACAAGAUAAAUUCAUUGAUAUCAGAUAUAUAUUAUCUACUCAGAUAGAUCAAUAGAUUACUAUAUCUGAGUUACGUCAUCUGGAACGAUGUAUUUUGCAGAUGAUUGACAAUAAUCUCAUAUCUGCUUUUGUUGAGAGAUGAAACACAAAGACUAGCAAUUUACUAAAAAGAUGCAUACGACAAUUUGGGUAUACUCAACACAUCACUCUUACACCAUUGAUGCUUGUUGUAUGUGAUGAUGUUAAAUGAAGUAUGUACAGGAACUAUGUAUGAUCUCUUCGUACUAGAUUGCAUCCAGUUGCGUAUUCACACGAGUAUGUUGAAGGAUACAUUCAAUGGUACUAUAGGAAAUCUCAUCCUCGAAUUAUCCCUUACGUGCUGCAGAACCUCCAUGCUUCGAUGUUCUUAGUCGUGAUGUUUGGUCCUGGUCCUAGUCAUGAUGUUGGUCAUGGUUCUGGUCCUAGUUAUGAUGAUGGUCCUGGUCCUAGUCACGAUGUUAGUCUUGUUCCUGGUCCUAGUCAUGAUGUUGGUUCUGAUACUACUCAUGGUGAAUCGUAUAUGCGUUAUCAGCUAAUGGGUGGUCUUAUACAUCAGAUGUUAGAUUUACAAAGGUUAGAUCCUGAAGAUGAGAUGCAUAUCUUAUUAGAGAGAGCUUGACACAUAUUUAGAAGAGGUGAUUAUAGUUGUAUUUUGAUUGUAUUAUUUUAUUAUUCAAACUUAUUUAUUUAGACUUAUCUUGAUUGAUUUAUUA
This is a long non-coding RNA of Cicer arietinum (chickpea), 1774 nucleotides long. RefSeq lists it as uncharacterized. NCBI's taxonomy places the organism in Eukaryota, Viridiplantae, Streptophyta, Magnoliopsida, Fabales, Fabaceae. The record is from RefSeq and is a predicted model, not a curated record.